RNAcentral lists this transfer RNA (77 nucleotides) under Cordylochernes scorpioides. Its description in RNAcentral is "tRNA-Gly". Lineage: Eukaryota; Metazoa; Arthropoda; Arachnida; Pseudoscorpiones; Chernetidae. The record is from RNAcentral.
UGUUCGCCAAUAGUGAGAAUCGAACCCGGGGCGCCCGCGUGGCAGGCGAGCAUUCUACCACUGAACCAAAAGCAAAC